This 308-nucleotide long non-coding RNA is filed under the name Gossypium raimondii (Peruvian cotton). RNAcentral describes it as "long non-coding RNA (GRAI_LNC002236)". The record is from RNAcentral. Lineage: Eukaryota; Viridiplantae; Streptophyta; Magnoliopsida; Malvales; Malvaceae.
AACACCCUAGUCGUGCCAAGGUGAUUGGCGGCACUAAAGGUGCCAAAGUGAUUGGCUGCACCAAAGGUGCCAAAGACAUUGGCAGCACCAAUGUUAUAAUAGAGCCGGUCGGUUGUUGGGGGGAGAAGGAGAGGGAAAGAAAGAAAGAAAGAAAGAAAAGAAGGUGAGGAAAGAAAGAAAAAGAAGGAAAGAAAAGGAAUGGAGAAGGGGAAAAAAAAGAAAGAAGAAGAAGAGGAAAUGAGAAGAAAAAAGAAAGAAAAAGAAGGAAAGAAAAGAAAAGGAGAAGAGAAAAAAAAAGAAGAAGAGGG